UGAAAUAGUUGGCUUUUUAGCACUGGGC
Molecule: non-coding RNA, 28 nt
Filed under: Rattus norvegicus (Norway rat)
Lineage: Eukaryota; Metazoa; Chordata; Mammalia; Rodentia; Muridae
Source: RNAcentral